RNAcentral lists this ribosomal RNA (305 nucleotides) under uncultured bacterium. RNAcentral's name for it is "bacterial SSU rRNA". It matches the Rfam family "Bacterial small subunit ribosomal RNA", at positions 335 to 658 of the family's 1533-position model. The record is from RNAcentral.
GUCCUACGGGGGGCAGCAGUGGGGAAUAUUGCACAAUGGGGGAAACCCUGAUGCAGCGAUGUCGCGUGGAGGAAGAAGGUUUUCGGAUUGUAAACUCCUUUUAUCAGGGACGAUAAUGACGGUACCUGAAGAAAAAGCUCCGGCUAACUACGUGCCAGCAGCCGCGGUAAUACGUAGGGAGCGAGCGUUGUCCGGAAUUACUGGGUGUAAAGGGCGUGUAGGCGGGAGAGCAAGUCAGACGUGAAAUUCCAGGGCUCAACCCUGGAACUGCGUUUGAAACUGUUCUUCUUGAGUGAUGGAGAGGG